UACAGAGGUCCCAAGCGUUGUCCGGAUUCACUGGGCGUAAAGGGUGCGUAGGUGGUGAGGUAAGUCGGAUGUGAAAUCUCCGAGCUCAACUCGGAAAUGGCAUUGGAAACUACCUUGCUAGAGGGUUGGAGGGGGGACUGGAAUACUUGGUGUAGCAGUGAAAUGCGUAGAUAUCAAGUGGAACACCAGUGGCGAAGGCGAGUCCCUGGACAACUCCUGACACUGAGGCACGAAAGCUAGGGGAGCAAACAGG
Molecule: ribosomal RNA, 253 nt
Filed under: uncultured bacterium
Lineage: Bacteria
Description: partial 16S ribosomal RNA
Rfam family: Bacterial small subunit ribosomal RNA
Source: RNAcentral